This 490-nucleotide ribosomal RNA is filed under the name uncultured bacterium. RNAcentral describes it as "partial 16S ribosomal RNA". It matches the Rfam family "Bacterial small subunit ribosomal RNA", at positions 30 to 507 of the family's 1533-position model. The record is from RNAcentral.
AUUGAACGCUGGCGGCAGGCCUAACACAUGCAAGUCGAACGGUAACAGGAAGCAGCUUGCUGCUUUGCUGACGAGUGGCGGACGGGUGAGUAAUGUCUGGGAAACUGCCUGAUGGAGGGGGAUAACUACUGGAAACGGUAGCUAAUACCGCAUAACGUCGCAAGACCAAAGAGGGGGACCUUCGGGCCUCUUGCCAUCGGAUGUGCCCAGAUGGGAUUAGCUAGUAGGUGGGGUAAAGGCUCACCUAGGCGACGAUCCCUAGCUGGUCUGAGAGGAUGACCCGCCACACUGGAACUGAGACACGGUCCAGACUCCUACGGGAGGCAGCAGUGGGGAAUAUUGCAAAAUGGGCGAAAGCCUGAAGGAGUCAAGGCGCGUGGAUGAAGAAGGCCUUCGGGUUGUAAAAUUCUUUUAGGGGGGAAGAAAGGAGGUAAAUGUAAAACUUUACCCCUUGACGGUACCCGAUAAAGAAGCCACGGCUAACUCCGUG